GGCAGGAUCUGGCUGGCCAGGUUCAGGCGCUGACUCAUGAUCUGGCGAGGAACUCUACUGAAAUGCAGCAAGCGCCUAUUCUUAAGCAACAAAUUGAAGUAAUGAAGCAGCAAAUACAACAUGCGAGGGCUUGUAUUGAGCAUGAGAAGAAAGGAUAUGCUGAUAACUAUGAGCAAGGGCAGGUGAUGCAGAAGAAUUUAGUCUCAAUGGCUCGUGAAGUUGAGAAACUUCGUGCUGAGAUUGCUAAUGCAGAGAAGAGGGCAAGAG
RNAcentral lists this unclassified non-coding RNA (267 nucleotides) under Hevea brasiliensis (rubber tree). The record is from RNAcentral. Lineage: Eukaryota; Viridiplantae; Streptophyta; Magnoliopsida; Malpighiales; Euphorbiaceae.